GGUUAAGAGCAUAUAAAUAAAAUAGGCUGCGGGGCUAUACAUGCAAGUCGAGCGGAUUGAUGGGAGCUUGCUCCCAGCAUAUCAGCGGCGGACGGGUGAGUAACACGUGGGUAACCUGCCUGUAAGACUGGGAUAACUCCGGGAAACCGGGGCUAAUACCGGAUAACUCAUUUCCUCGCAUGAGGAAAUGUUGAAAGAUGGCUUCUUGCUAUCACUUACAGAUGGACCCGCGGCGCAUUAGCUAGUUGGUGAGGUAACGGCUCACCAAGGCAACGAUGCGUAGCCGACCUGAGAGGGUGAUCGGCCACACUGGGACUGAGACACGGCCCAGACUCCUACGGGAGGCAGCAGUAGGGAAUCUUCCGCAAUGGACGAAAGUCUGACGGAGCAACGCCGCGUGAGUGAUGAAGGUUUUCGGAUCGUAAAACUCUGUUGUUAGGGAAGAACAAGUACCGUUCGAAUAGGGCGGUACCUUGACGGUACCUAACCAGAAAGCCACGGCUAACUACGUGCCAGCAGCCGCGGUAAUACGUAGGUGGCAAGCGUUGUCCGGAAUUAUUGGGCGUAAAGCGCGCGCAGGUGGUUUCUUAAGUCUGAUGUGAAAGCCCACGGCUCAACCGUGGAGGGUCAUUGGAAACUG
Molecule: ribosomal RNA, 640 nt
Filed under: Bacillus sp. JSM 073066
Lineage: Bacteria; Bacillati; Bacillota; Bacilli; Caryophanales; Bacillaceae
Description: bacterial SSU rRNA
Rfam family: Bacterial small subunit ribosomal RNA
Source: RNAcentral